Mustela lutreola (European mink) is the source of this 398-nucleotide long non-coding RNA. RefSeq lists it as uncharacterized. The record is from RefSeq and is a predicted model, not a curated record. NCBI's taxonomy places the organism in Eukaryota, Metazoa, Chordata, Mammalia, Carnivora, Mustelidae. The transcript has 3 exons.
UGGGGUCCGCGCAUGCGCGCGAGAGCCCGAGUGACCGCUGCGAGGCCAGAGAGAAGGAAGCCUCUGCUCUUGGCUCCGUGCGGCCAAGCUUGGCUUCAGAUCCGCCCGAGGCUCUUGUGGCUAUGGCCAGGCCCAGGCGUGGGAGUCGACAUUCAGGAGGCUGAUCCUCUACAAGCCAAGCCAGAAAAAGCCAUGGUCCCGAUUUAGCCUACUGACCAUUGGUGUGCAGUCUCAGGUCUACGUCUUAAACCUCUUUACUACAUCAUAAAUUUGGUAGCAACAUAAUUGGGAGAUUCCUCUCAAGGGAGGGCUGCUGGAUGCAGAAUUCAGGAACCUGGCUUGCCUGCCUGCAGCCAUCUGCUACAUUAAAGAAGGCCUCCUAUGGCUGGAAUCCAAAA